This 31-nucleotide non-coding RNA is filed under the name Mus musculus (house mouse). Lineage: Eukaryota; Metazoa; Chordata; Mammalia; Rodentia; Muridae. The record is from RNAcentral.
UUGUUCAGACCAAGCCUGUGUGCCUGAUAUC